Molecule: long non-coding RNA, 270 nt
Filed under: Homo sapiens (human)
Lineage: Eukaryota; Metazoa; Chordata; Mammalia; Primates; Hominidae
Description: long non-coding RNA NONHSAT123802.2
Source: RNAcentral
AUGCUGGGAUCACCCAGAUGCCAAGAUAUCACAUUGUACAGAAGAAAGAGAUGAUCCUGGAAUGUGCUCAGGUUAGGAACAGUGUUCUGAUAUCGACAGGACCCAAGACGGGGGCUGAAGCUUAUCCACUAUUCAGGCAGUGGUCACAGCAGGACCAAAGUUGAUGUCACAGAGGGGUACUGUGUUUCUUGAAACAAGCUUGAGCAUUUCCCCAAUCCUGGCAUCCACCAGCACCAGCCAGACCUAUCUGUACCACUGUGGCAGCACAUC